UGGGGAAUAUUGCACAAUGGGCGGAAGCCUGAUGCAGCGACGCCGCGUGAGGGAUGACGGCCUUCGGGUUGUAAACCUCUUUCAGUGCAGAACAAGGCUCUUUGUGGGUAGUGGGUAUGCGCAGAAGAAGCGCCGGCUAACUACGGGCCAGCAGCCGCGGUAAUACGUAGGGCGCGAGCGUUGUCCGGAUUUAUUGGGCGUAAAGAGCUCGUAGGCGGUUUGUCGCGUCUGCUGUGAAAUCCUCUGGCUUAACUGGGGGCGUGCAGUGGGUACGGGCAGACUGGAGUGAGGUAGGGGAGACUGGAAUUCCUGGUGUAGCGGUGGAAUGCGCAGAUAUCAGGAGGAACACCGGUGGAGAAGGCGGGUCUCUGGGCCGUUACUGACGCUGAGGAGCGAAAGCAUGGGGAGCGAA
This 412-nucleotide ribosomal RNA is filed under the name uncultured bacterium. RNAcentral describes it as "bacterial SSU rRNA". It matches the Rfam family "Bacterial small subunit ribosomal RNA", at positions 355 to 772 of the family's 1533-position model. The record is from RNAcentral.